CCAGAGUUUUUGUUUCCACCUGCAUGGCUUUUCUCUGACAAUGUCACGCUGGGAUAGGAAGAUAAGGAGGAGGAGGUUGAGGGUAUAAGACAAAUCAAACAUCCCCCCUGUCUGCCUCGCUUGAUUUCAAUUUGGUAUCCAUUGGAAACAGGCAUUCUUCACCGUGCUCUGAUAAUGGCGUGUGCACUUUACUGAUAUCUUUAGCAGAGAUGUGAGCUGUCAGUCAGAGAGCUGAAGGGUGAACGGGAUCAAGAGGUCCGUGCCAGAGGUAUUUCCAGGCAUGCAGCAGCACUGAUUGAGAUUUGACUCCGGUGAUAUGAAGGUCCUGUCGGAGACGAGGUGGUUGGAAGCGCAGCAGGCCUUAUCUCCUCCUGAAGAACUCCCGGUUAAGAUACGACUAACUCGUUCCCACACAAGGGCACAGAGUCACUUUAAGAGUAAUCUUUAGCUUUUCCACUCCUGGAGUGCUCCUUCUGUCUGAUAAAAAAAAAAUGUCAAUGACAUUGUAAUGAAAAGCUUUUUUUUAGUGUUUGUAAUAUCUUUCAAAGCACGGCAAACAUUGCAGAACCCUGUUGAGCUCACAGUAGUUGGUGGAAGAACACGGAGAAACUAAUCUGUAUCUGAAGGUGGAAAAUGUAGUAUACGUUUCGAAAAGCAGCCUGAAGCUGUGAACAAAUCCUAACAUUUGACUUACUUCAUCACAAUGGGCCUGAAUCUAAGCUUGAGUUGUUGUUGUUAAUCCAAGUGUGCUACAAAUCAUUUACAAUAUCAUUUUUAUCAUAAAAUGACACUGAAUGUGUGAUAAUAAGAAGCAACGAAGAUCCUACUCUUUUCACAACAGAGGCUUCUUCAUGACCUGAGCUUGACCCGGUCUGACAGAUUUGUUCAGUCCUAACCGAACCUGAAGCCAAUGUUUUAAUGUCAAAAUUAUGCACAUUAUGUCAUAAUCACUAUCACUAUUAAACGAGUACAUUUGCGUUCGUAUAGAUAUAUUUUGAGCACACAUGGUCAUCUUCCAAUUCAAGAACACAGAAUAGAAGCAGCCUCAUAUCAGAGCCGUGAUAAGGACUUCUGGUCUGCACUACUGUAUGCCCCCUAAAUUUUAAUUAACAUGCCUGAGGAACAGAGGAAAACGCAAGAAAGAUUACAGCACAUUACUCUCAUUGUUAGAUUGGCAAGUAAACAUGUAUAACACAAUAUGUUUACCUGGCAAGGACCUCUUGCUGCUGUACAAAUUAUGACUUUUUUUGGAAGGAGGCUGGAGUGGAUUGUUUGGUCAGGAGAGUGUCAGACUGUGACACUGGAGACAACUGUUAAAUUCCCUUUUCUCAACCAACCGUCAAUGUUGUUUUCUGUUAACCAUGCAUUUCCCUAACCUUAAAGCCCCCCUGCAGUCCAAAAUGUGUUUUGCUUCUUGUUUCUCCAGUUAGAUGUUUCAGCUUCACUGUGCAGAAUGAUGUCUGUGCAGUGUUUGGCACUAAAAGGUUGUUUUCACAUUCAUCUGCUGAAAGUGGAAAGAUUCUCUGUGCUCACCAGAUAUAUGAGUUUAAGCCAUGUACCUAUGAGCAUUAUUGGUGACAUCACAAUUGUUUUGGAGCCAGCUGUGGUCCAGUAAAUGUGUUUUUUUCUUCUUGUUC
Thunnus maccoyii (southern bluefin tuna) is the source of this 1637-nucleotide long non-coding RNA. RefSeq lists it as uncharacterized. The transcript has 3 exons. NCBI's taxonomy places the organism in Eukaryota, Metazoa, Chordata, Actinopteri, Scombriformes, Scombridae. The record is from RefSeq and is a predicted model, not a curated record.